UUCGAGGGGACACUUUUACAAACACUCAAUCCCCUUCCUCAAACUCUAAGGGCCUUCUCCUUUUGUCUGCAUAACUUUUCUAUCUAUCUUGGGCAGUCUUAAGUUUUUCCUUGAUGAGUUGUAUCUUAUCUAUAGUCUCUUGGACAAUCUCAGGUCCCAACAAACGACUCUCACCCAUCUCUAUCCAACACAAGGGCGAUCUACAAGGUC
Molecule: long non-coding RNA, 210 nt
Filed under: Vitis vinifera (wine grape)
Lineage: Eukaryota; Viridiplantae; Streptophyta; Magnoliopsida; Vitales; Vitaceae
Description: long non-coding RNA (VVIN_LNC005400)
Source: RNAcentral